Molecule: ribosomal RNA, 253 nt
Filed under: uncultured bacterium
Lineage: Bacteria
Description: partial 16S ribosomal RNA
Rfam family: Bacterial small subunit ribosomal RNA
Source: RNAcentral
UAUGGAGGGUGCAAGCGUUAUUCGGAAUUACUGGGCGUAAAGCGUGCGCAGGCGGUUUUGUAAGUCUGAUGUGAAAUCCCCGGGCUCAACCUGGGAAUUGCGUUGGAGACUGCAAGGCUAGAAUCUGGCAGAGGGGGGUAGAAUUCCACGUGUAGCAGUGAAAUGCGUAGAGAUGUGGAGGAACACCGAUGGCGAAGGCAGCCCCCUGGGUCAAGAUUGACGCUCAUGCACGAAAGCGUGGGGAGCAAACAGG